This 1005-nucleotide ribosomal RNA is filed under the name Vittatidera zeaphila. RNAcentral describes it as "SSU rRNA". It matches the Rfam family "Eukaryotic small subunit ribosomal RNA", at positions 31 to 1036 of the family's 1831-position model. The record is from RNAcentral. Lineage: Eukaryota; Metazoa; Nematoda; Chromadorea; Rhabditida; Heteroderidae.
CUUGUCUCAAAGAUUAAGCCAUGCAUGUAUAAGUGUAACCUGCCAGACAGGGAAACUGCGUACGGCUCAUUACACCAGCUAUAAUUUACUUGACCUUGACAACUUACUUGGAUAACUGUGGUAAUUCUAGAGCUAAUACAUGCACCAAAGCUCCAAUCUCCCCAGAGCGGAGCGCAUUUGUUCGCCACAAAACCAAGCGCCCUCCGGGCGUCCAGUGUUGACUCAGAACAACUAAGCUGAUCGCACGGUCUUGCACCGGCGACGUGUCUUUCAAGUGUCUGCCUUAUCAACUUUCGAUGGUAGUGUAUCUGACUACCAUGGUGAUGACGGGUAACGGAGGAUAAGGGUUCGACUCCGGAGAAGGGGCCUGAGAAAUGGCCACUACGUCUAAGGAUGGCAGCAGGCGCGCAAAUUACCCACUCUCAACAUGAGGAGGUAGUGACGAGAAAUAACGAGACCGAUCUCUAUUGAGGCCGGUCAUCGGAAUGGGUACAAUUUAAACCCUUUAACGAGUAUCUAUGAGAGGGCAAGUCUGGUGCCAGCAGCCGCGGUAAUUCCAGCUCUCAAAAUGCAUAGAAUUAUUGCUGCGGUUAAAAAGCUCGUAGUUGGAUCUGUGCUAGCCGUCCGGUCCACCCUCUGGGUGUGCACUGGCACGGUUGGCUUUUUUGCUGGUCUCUCCCCGGCGUUGGCCUUCACUGGUCGGCGUCGGUGGGCUAGCGAGUUUACUUUGAACAAAUCAGAGUGCUUCAAACAGGCGUUUCGCUUGAAUGUUCGUGCAUGGAAUAAUAGAAGAGGAUUUCGGUCCGAUUUUAUUGGUUUUGCUGACCGAGAUAAUGGUUAACAGAGACAAACGGGGCCAUUCGUAUUGCUACGUGAGAGGUGAAAUUCUUGGACCGUAGCAAGACGGACUACAGCGAAAGCAUUUGGCAAGAAUGUCUUCAUUAAUCAAGAACGAAAGUCAGAGGUUCGAAGGCGAUCAGAUACCGCCCUAGUUCUGACCGUAAA